This 426-nucleotide ribosomal RNA is filed under the name uncultured bacterium. Its description in RNAcentral is "bacterial SSU rRNA". It matches the Rfam family "Bacterial small subunit ribosomal RNA", at positions 355 to 796 of the family's 1533-position model. The record is from RNAcentral.
UCGAGAAUCUUCCGCAAUGGACGCAAGUCUGACGGAGCGACGCCGCGUGAUGGAUGAAGUCUUUCGGGAUGUAAACAUCUUUUAUGAGCGAGAAAGUUUAUUGAUCAGCUCAUGAAUAAGGGGUUGCUAAACUCGUGCCAGCAGCAGCGGUAAUACGAGUGCCCCAAGCGUUAUCCGGAAUUAUUGGGCGUAAAGGGUGUGUAGGCGGUUUCAUUAGUCUCCUGUUAAAUCUCCCGACUCAAUCGGGAAUCUGCAGGAGAAACGGUGAACCUAGAAGAUGCGAGGGGUUUGCGGAACUCAUAGUGUAGGGGUGAAAUCCGUUGAUAUUAUGGGGAACACCAAAAGCGAAGGCAGCAAACUAGCGCAUUCUUGACGCUGAAACACGAAAGCGUGGGUAGCGAAUGGGAUUAGAUACCCCUGUAGUCC